This 400-nucleotide ribosomal RNA is filed under the name uncultured bacterium. RNAcentral describes it as "bacterial SSU rRNA". It matches the Rfam family "Bacterial small subunit ribosomal RNA", at positions 356 to 773 of the family's 1533-position model. The record is from RNAcentral.
GGGGAAUCUUGCGCAAUGGGGGUAACCCUGACGCAGCGACGCCGCGUGGGCGAUGAAGGUCUUCGGAUCGUAAAGCCCUGUCGGGAGGGAAGAAAUUGACGGUACCUCCAAAGGAAGCACCGGCUAACUCUGUGCCAGCAGCCGCGGUAAUACAGAGGGUGCAAGCGUUGCUCGGAAUUACUGGGCGUAAAGAGCGUGUAGGCGGUCAGGCAGGUCGGAUGUGAAAUCCCCGGGCUCAACCCGGGAACUGCAUCCGAUACCACCUGGCUAGAAUGCGGAAGAGAGAGGUGGAAUUCCCAGUGUAGAGGUGAAAUUCGUAGAGAUUGGGAGGCACACCAGUGGCGAAAGCGGCCUCUUGGUCCUGCAUUGACGCUGAGACGCGAAAGCGUGGGGAGCAAAC